AGGGCACCCAUACCAUUGGGCGUGAUAACCACUAUUGAUUUCGUAAUAGCCAUCGAAUGGUGUAUUUAAGGUGGUCUUGAUUCUAUGUGCAAUAUGAUUGAUUUUGUGAAUUUCCCGAUUAUAAUUUGGUACAUAUAAGUCGUUGAACUGGUGAAAUAUCUUUAAGCUCGAUAGUUUGCCAAUAUAGGUUAUCUCCCCUCAAUUGUACCAUUAAACCCGAAGUACUUGCGGAUACCACCAUAGAAUUGUUGAACUCCAAUAUACAACACAUGUAAGCCUCCACAAUUUAGCCGUUGAAUGAUUCUAAUUGCUAAAUUUCGAUUUAUUUAGAUUGUAUAGACCAUUCAUUCGUACGUUACCUACCACUUUUCUCAGAGUCAGGGUUUGGAAACUAAAUAUUUUGAGCUGUUUCUCUAAAACGCGCUGCUUCAAAAAAUAG
Molecule: long non-coding RNA, 439 nt
Organism: Aedes aegypti (yellow fever mosquito)
Lineage: Eukaryota; Metazoa; Arthropoda; Insecta; Diptera; Culicidae
Exons: 3
Source: RefSeq, a predicted model, not a curated record